UACGGAGGAUCCAAGCGUUAUCCGGAAUCAUUGGGUUUAAAGGGUCCGUAGGCGGUUUAGUAAGUCAGUGGUGAAAGCCCAUCGCUCAACGGUGGAACGGCCAUUGAUACUGCUGAACUUGAAUUAUUAGGAAGUAACUAGAAUAUGUAGUGUAGCGGUGAAAUGCUUAGAGAUUACAUGGAAUACCAAUUGCGAAGGCAGGUUACUACUAAUUGAUUGACGCUGAUGGACGAAAGCGUGGGUAGCGAACAGG
Molecule: ribosomal RNA, 253 nt
Filed under: uncultured bacterium
Lineage: Bacteria
Also listed under: 1 other name
Description: partial 16S ribosomal RNA
Rfam family: Bacterial small subunit ribosomal RNA
Source: RNAcentral